CAAUGCGCAACUUGUUUCACAAGAAGCCGAAGAUGUCUCGUCCGGGAUGCUGUGCCAACCUUAUCUGCAGCAGGAGAUUGCAGGGGCAGGACUAGGCAGCAGAUAAAGGCAUGCUGGCACCACCGAAAAGCUUGCACUCCACGUCUCAACUAUCACCGUCUGGGUUUCAAGCUGAAGGCUGUCACCAGUGCCAACCAGACGCCCCUUCAAAGUUCAUCUGUUUUUGUUGACGGAACAGUGACACCUGGUAAACCUGUCACGCAGAUGCCCUACCCCUUGGUAUGCAUAGUUUAAGAUUGUACCGAAACAAUCCACCUGGAGCAUUAUUCUUCAAUUGGCAGUGGCAUUACUAUCACAACACACCACAUACUGCAUGUGUAUGGUGCAUGUACAAUGCAUCAAACUUAUUCUCAGGUACAGGCCAGCUGGUACGCAAUUACAACAUGAAACAACUGACACAGAGACCGUAAAGUCAUGCCUUUUCCUCCGCGCCUCGGGUUUCAUGUUAUUAUCCUCACAUGCAGCUCAAUUCGCCUGUGCUGUGCAGCAUGAGCAAAAGC
Ornithodoros turicata is the source of this 560-nucleotide long non-coding RNA. RefSeq lists it as uncharacterized. The record is from RefSeq and is a predicted model, not a curated record. The transcript is spliced from 3 exons. NCBI's taxonomy places the organism in Eukaryota, Metazoa, Arthropoda, Arachnida, Ixodida, Argasidae.